UCACUCCAGAAAGGUCUGAAGAGACUGCAAGACUUGAGAUCGGGUGAGGUUAAACGUACUUUCAGGGAUAGGGGUAAAAUCCUGUAAUCCCGGAAGGACGACCAGUGGCGAAAGCGUUUAACUAGAACGAAUCUGACGGUAAGGAACGAAGGCUAGGGUAGCAAACCGGAUUAGAUACCCGGGUAGUCCUAGCUGUAAACAUUGCCCAUUUGAUGUUGCUUUCCCGUUGAGGGAAGGCAGUGUCGGAGCGAAGGUGUUAAAUGGGCCGCUUGGGAAGUAUGGUCGCAAGACUGAAACUUAAAGGAAUUGGCGGGGGAGCACCGCAACGGGAGGAAUGUGCGGUUUAAUUGGAUUCAACGCCGGAAAACUCACCGGGAACGACCUGUGCAUGAGAGUCAACUUGACGAGCUUACCUCGAUAGCAGGAGAGGUGGUGCAUGGCCGUCGUCAGCUCGUACCGUAGGGCGUCACUUAAGUGUGAUAACGAGCGAGACCCACAUCUUUAAUUGCAAAUGUAUAUGGGAAUAUGCAUGCACUUU
This 538-nucleotide ribosomal RNA is filed under the name uncultured bacterium. Its description in RNAcentral is "bacterial SSU rRNA". It matches the Rfam family "Archaeal small subunit ribosomal RNA", at positions 560 to 1097 of the family's 1478-position model. The record is from RNAcentral.